GGGCCUUUUGAAGGCUAUAGCUUCUGCAACCUUUCUGUUGACCCCUUGGCAGGGAGCCAAUCACCUUUCUCGCCGUAGAGGCCCUGAGCUUCACCCCAGGGAAAGGGAUGGAGAAUACAACUCAGGAGGAAAAAAAAAGAGUCAAAGACACAGAGAAAAUGAGGGUCCUCUGAAGAGAGAAGAAAAUUGGUAACCGUGCCCAUUCACAGCCUUACAAGACCUCGUGCAACCACCACCACAACAAAGCAGAUCUUUUCUGUUUAUACUUUCCGUCUCAACUGCACGACGUCCUGGUUGGUAUCGGCUCAUCACCCCGUUAAUGAAGAUAAGAGUUUUCUCUCCUUGCUUGUACUGAACAGUGAGAGAUCAUCAGCUUUGUUCUGCUCCUGGAGGCUCGUGGAUGCUGCAGAAACACCAGAGUGAGCGAGCAAGGAAGCAUGUGGACCCUGUAGGCACCAGCCAGCCACGCCUGGACCGGCCAGUGCUCCUCGCUUGUGCGGGACGGGGUACAUCAGUCCAACAGGUGCAUGGCAGGCGCAUGAGAGAGCGAAGCUUGACGGGUCAGGGGAACAUAGUGUUAAAGUUAGCAACCAAGUGACCAUAAUUACAGGUGUCUCAAGUAGAAAAUAGGAGUGAGCACUGAGGAGGGGAGCAGCAUGAAGAGAGUGUGUGCAGUGGGGAGGAGCAGUUCAAGGCUAAGUCUGUGAGACCAGGUGUGCUCAGAUGUUCCUUUGUCCCUGGGCUCCUCCAUCUGGGGGAGUCUUCAACAGGCCAACAGUGUGUGGUGCGGAAAGAGAAGUAGAAAGGGCACCGGUUGUGGCCCAGUCGAGGAGUGUGUUAGUUAUCUAUGGCCGAGUAGCAAAUCACCCCAAACUUCAUGGCUUAAAACAACCAUGAACGUGUAUUAUCUCACACAGUUUAGGAACCGCUGAGGGCAUCUCAGAGGAUUCUUCACUCCCACGUGUGGCACAGGGGAGCUCUGUCUCCUCAGGCAUUUCUCUAUGUGGUCUCCACUCACGGUCUGUCCAGCAUGGUGUCUUCCAGUUAGUGGGACUGCCCAUGUGGCAGCUCAGGUGUCCCCAGAGACAGGGACAGCCAGGAGGAAGCUGUACCCCUUUUCUGAGCCGUCUCUCCUGCUGCAGUCUGUCAGGAGCGAGUGCCCCCACCUGGCCCUCAUUCACAGGGAGGGAGUCGGCAUCCACCUUUUGCUGGGAGGCAUAGCUAAGAAUCUUCUGGCAUGUUUCAUAACCACGCAGGAGCCUGCGACGUCAUCUGGGGUCUUCCCAAUCACGCCAGCGUCAACGAGAAGUCUCUUGCUGUGUGCAGUGGCUGGCCGUUCAUGUGUGGAGGGGUGAUGUGACACGCGGACAGGUGGCUCAAUGUUCUGAGACUAAAUACUACGCCUGUGUGGUUACCAGGAAGCCUUCCGUGCCUAGAAACACUUUUCUGUGACUCGGGAUGGCUUAUAUGAGAGUAGAUGGUAAAGUGGUGAUGCCACAGGGGUACAAGACAGCGUUAGGGGAGCAGGAAACUGAAGAGAUUGAGCAGGAGACCAGCAAGGGGCCUUGACUUUGGUGUGCCUUUGAUGUGUAAUGCCACAGCGGAGAAGUCCUGUCUUUGAAAGACGGCGGUCUGGGUACUAGAAUGCUGGCCACCAGUUGUCUCUGUGACUGCUAAAACCGAUAGCAGUCGAGUCCCGGCACCACCAGACUCUCAUGCUACUGACCCCGGUGUGAGUGGCACUUGGGGUUCCGUGUGCGGAAACUGGACUGUAGAUAAUUGAUUUGUUAGAGGGGGGGGGCUGGGAGGCUUAGCGCAUUCCAGUGUGUUUCCAAGCGGUGUUCGAAAGCCUCCUGUAAGGACACUGACUGCACCAUGCGAUGUUUGCCUGAUGCCAGCUAAUUAGGAAAACCCAUCCUGGGCCUAGCUUGAGUGAGCCCAGGGAAGGAUAAACAGUGUCGCUGUAGCUGGUGCGUUGCAGGUCCCCAGCGUAACCCGCAGUCCCUUUACACUUGAUCGAGCUUAUUCUGUGCACAGACUUUCACUAAAGGCCGACCUGUCCCAAUGUGUCAGGCAAUUUCCAAAGUGCAGUAGCAGUAACAGCCAGGCUUCUUAUCUGCCUCCGCUGAACAAUUAAGAGGAACCUGAGUUUCACCAAGAGCAAUUCGUUGGACAGUUUGGCAUCGUUUGCAAAUGGGUCCAGACGUCACCACUGUGGAGUCCCCUUGGGCUGAGAUAAAGACUUGCUGACCCCUGGGAUCUUCCACUUUGGAGUCCGGCAUUCCUGACCCACUUGCCCGAGGCUGGGCCGUUGCUGAGGCCGGACCCCCAGGCAAGUAUUUCUUCGCGUGUGAUUGGUAGGAUGUUGUUAGGCAAAUAUUGCGUGUGUUAUGCGAAAAUGAGUUAAUCGGUAGACAAAUAAAAGGAGAGAGAAAGAAAGUAAGCAAAUAAACUUGGAAAACUGGGCUCAAUGCAAGUUGUUUUUGCUUCUUUUGAAACAGGAUAGGGGCACCUGGGUGGCUCAGUCAGUUAAGCAUCCGACUCUUGAUUUCAGCUCAGGUCACGAUCUCAGUUUGUAGGUUUGAGUCUCACAUUGGGCUGCACUGACAGUGACCAGGUGGGCCUCUCUCUCUGCCCCUCCCCC
Neofelis nebulosa (Clouded leopard) is the source of this 2644-nucleotide long non-coding RNA. RefSeq lists it as uncharacterized. The record is from RefSeq and is a predicted model, not a curated record. The transcript has 3 exons. Lineage: Eukaryota; Metazoa; Chordata; Mammalia; Carnivora; Felidae.